GAACGCUAGCGGCAGGCUUAACACAUGCAAGUCGAGGGGCAGCAUGACGGAACCUUCGGGUUUGUUGAUGGCGACCGGCGCAAGGGUGCGUAACGCGUGAGCAACUUGCCCGUUUCAGGGGGAUAACCGGUGGAAACGCCGACUAAUACCCCAUGGUAUCAUAUUCAGGCAUCUUUAUAUGAUUAAAGAAUUUCGGAAACGGAUAGGCUCGCGUGACAUUAGCUAGAUGGCGGGGUAACGGCCCACCAUGGCGACGAUGUCUAGGGGUUCUGAGAGGAAGGUCCCCCACACUGGAACUGAGACACGGUCCAGACUCCUACGGGAGGCAGCAGUGAGGAAUAUUGGUCAAUGGUCUGACGACUGAACCAGCCAUGCCGCGUGAAGGUGACGGCCCUAUGGGUCUUAAACUUCUUUUGCAAGGGAGCAAUAAGCCUCACGUGUGGGGCGAUGAGAGUACCUUGCGAAUAAGCAUCGGCUAACUCCGUG
RNAcentral lists this ribosomal RNA (486 nucleotides) under uncultured bacterium. Its description in RNAcentral is "bacterial SSU rRNA". It matches the Rfam family "Bacterial small subunit ribosomal RNA", at positions 31 to 507 of the family's 1533-position model. The record is from RNAcentral.